AUGCCCAUCAGAGGCGCAGAGGUUAACCGUGAUCACGAAGGCGUGUUCCUCCGGAGUGAGACUUGGUCAUUGCAUGUCGGCUGAGUUGACUUGUGCGAUUAUUCCUAAUGUGAAUAAGUCGUCUGUGUAAAUUUUGAUAGCCGGGAACGGCGUUUGCGCCGUCCCUAC
Drosophila obscura is the source of this 168-nucleotide small nuclear RNA. RefSeq annotates it as U1 spliceosomal RNA. Lineage: Eukaryota; Metazoa; Arthropoda; Insecta; Diptera; Drosophilidae. The transcript has a single exon. The record is from RefSeq and is a predicted model, not a curated record.